This 109-nucleotide small nucleolar RNA is filed under the name Castor canadensis (American beaver). Its description in RNAcentral is "Small nucleolar RNA SNORA26 (ENSCCNG00000008958.1)". It matches the Rfam family "Small nucleolar RNA SNORA26". From Rfam's summary of the family: The snoRNA HBI-6 belong to the H/ACA family of snoRNAs, guiding the pseudouridylation of position U4522 if the 28S rRNA. HBI-6 is the human orthologue of mouse MBI-6 snoRNA. Lineage: Eukaryota; Metazoa; Chordata; Mammalia; Rodentia; Castoridae. The record is from Rfam by way of RNAcentral.
UUUCUCUUUUACUAGAAGUGUAUUUACACAGAAGGGCAAAGGAAAUUUCCAUAAAACCCAGAGAAUAGCUUGUAAAACUCCUCCCUGGAUCCUGCCUAGAGUCACAGCU